ACGAACGCUGGCGGCGUGCUUAACACAUGCAAGUCGAACGAUGAUGCCCUGCUUGCAGGGUGGAUUAGUGGCGAACGGGUGAGUAACACGUGGGUGAUCUGCCCCGCACUUCGGGAUAAGCCUGGGAAACUGGGUCUAAUACCGGAUACGACCCCCUGGUAGGCAGGGGGUGGAAAGAUUUAUCGGUGUGGGAUGAGCCUGCGGCCUAUCAGCUUGUUGGUGGGGUAAUGGCCUACCAAGGCGUCGACGGGUAGCCGGCCUGAGAGGGUGAUCGGCCACAUUGGGACUGAGACACGGCCCAGACUCCUACGGGAGGCAGCAGUGGGGAAUAUUGCACAAUGGGCGCAAGCCUGAUGCAGCGACGCCGCGUGGGGGAUGACGGCCUUCGGGUUGUAAACUCCUUUCGACAGGGACGAAGCUUUUUGUGACGGUACCUGUAGAAGAAGCACCGGCUAACUACGUGCCAGCAGCCGCGGUAAUACGUAGGGUGCGAGCGUUGUCCGGAAUUACUGGGCGUAAAGAGCUCGUAGGUGGUUUGUCGCGUCGUCUGUGAAAUCCCGGGGCUUAACCUCGGGCGUGCAGGCGAUACGGGCAUAACUUGAGUGCUGUAGGGGAGACUGGAAUUCCUGGUGUAGCGGUGAAAUGCGCAGAUAUCAGGAGGAACACCAAUGGCGAAGGCAGGUCUCUGGGCAGUAACUGACGCUGAGGAGCGAAAGCAUGGGUAGCGAACAGGAUUAGAUACCCUGGUAGUCCAUGCCCUAAACGAUGUCUACUAGUUGUUGGUGGAGUGAAA
RNAcentral lists this ribosomal RNA (793 nucleotides) under uncultured bacterium. Its description in RNAcentral is "bacterial SSU rRNA". It matches the Rfam family "Bacterial small subunit ribosomal RNA", at positions 29 to 836 of the family's 1533-position model. The record is from RNAcentral.